This 610-nucleotide ribosomal RNA is filed under the name Naganishia globosa. Its description in RNAcentral is "eukaryotic LSU rRNA". It matches the Rfam family "Eukaryotic large subunit ribosomal RNA", at positions 53 to 653 of the family's 3401-position model. Lineage: Eukaryota; Fungi; Basidiomycota; Tremellomycetes; Filobasidiales; Filobasidiaceae. The record is from RNAcentral.
GAGGAAAAGAAACUAACAAGGAUUCCCCUAGUAACGGCGAGUGAAGCGGGAAGAGCUCAAAUUUGAAAUCUGGUAGCCUUCGGUUGCCCGAGUUGUAAUCUAGAGAAGUGUUUUCCGCGUUGGCCCAUGUACAAGUCCCUUGGAACAGGGCGUCAUAGAGGGUGAGAAUCCCGUCCUUGACAUGGACCCCCAAUGCUUUGUGAUACACUUUCAACGAGUCGAGUUGUUUGGGAAUGCAGCUCAAAAUGGGUGGUGAAUUCCAUCUAAAGCUAAAUAUUGGCGAGAGACCGAUAGCGAACAAGUACCGUGAGGGAAAGAUGAAAAGCACUUUGGAAAGAGAGUUAAACAGUACGUGAAAUUGUUGAAAGGGAAACGAUUGAAGUCAGUCAUGCUCUUUGGAUUAAGCCGUUCUGCGGUGUAUUUCAUUGAGCGGGGUCAACAUCAGUUUUGAUCGCUGGAAAAGGGCAGGAGGAAGGUAGCACUCUCGGGUGAACUUAUAGCCUCUUGUCGUAUACAGUGAUUGGGACUGAGGAACGCAGCAUGCCUUUUGGCCGGGAUUCGUCCACGUACAUGCUUAGGAUGUUGACAUAAUGGCUUUAAACGACCCGUC